This 256-nucleotide ribosomal RNA is filed under the name uncultured bacterium. RNAcentral describes it as "partial 16S ribosomal RNA". It matches the Rfam family "Bacterial small subunit ribosomal RNA", at positions 97 to 353 of the family's 1533-position model. The record is from RNAcentral.
GGCGGACGGGUGAGUAAUGUCUGGGAAACUGCCUGAUGGAGGGGGGAUAACUACUGGAAACGGUAGCUAAUACCGCAUAACGUCGCAAGACCAAAGAGGGGGACCUUCGGGCCUCUUGCCAUCGGAUGUGCCCAGAUGGGAUUAGCUAGUAGGUGGGGUAAAGGCUCACCUAGGCGACGAUCCCUAGCUGGUCUGAGAGGAUGACCAGCCACACUGGAACUGAGGCACGGUCCAGACUCCUACGGGAGGCAGCAUG